This 430-nucleotide ribosomal RNA is filed under the name uncultured bacterium. RNAcentral describes it as "bacterial SSU rRNA". It matches the Rfam family "Bacterial small subunit ribosomal RNA", at positions 28 to 459 of the family's 1533-position model. The record is from RNAcentral.
GAUGAACGCUGGCGGCGUGCUUAACACAUGCAAGUCGAACGAUGAACCUCACUUGUGGGGGGAUUAGUGGCGAACGGGUGAGUAACACGUGAGUAACCUGCCCUUAACUCUGGGAUAAGCCUGGGAAACUGGGUCUAAUACCGGAUAUGACUCCUCAUCGCAUGGUGGGGGGUGGAAAGCUUUUUGUGGUUUUGGAUGGACUCGCGGCCUAUCAGCUUGUUGGUGAGGUAAUGGCUCACCAAGGCGACGACGGGUAGCCGGCCUGAGAGGGUGACCGGCCACACUGGGACUGAGACACGGCCCAGACUCCUACGGGAGGCAGCAGUGGGGAAUAUUGCACAAUGGGCGAAAGCCUGAUGCAGCGACGCCGCGUGAGGGAUGACGGCCUUCGGGUUGUAAACCUCUUUCAGUAGGGAAGAAGCGAAAGUGA